GGGGCCGUAGCUCAACUGGUUAGAGCAUCGGACUGUCGAUCCGAAGGUUGAGGGUUCGAGUCCCUUCGGCCUCGCCA
This 77-nucleotide transfer RNA is filed under the name Candidatus Brocadiia bacterium. RNAcentral describes it as "tRNA-Asp". It matches the Rfam family "tRNA". Rfam says of the family: Transfer RNA (tRNA) molecules are approximately 80 nucleotides in length. Their secondary structure includes four short double-helical elements and three loops (D, anti-codon, and T loops). Further hydrogen bonds mediate the characteristic L-shaped molecular structure. tRNAs have two regions of fundamental functional importance: the anti-codon, which is responsible for specific mRNA codon recognition, and the 3' end, to which the tRNAs corresponding amino acid is attached (by aminoacyl-tRNA synthetases). tRNAs cope with the degeneracy of the genetic code in two manners: having more than one tRNA (with a specific anti-codon) for a particular amino acid; and 'wobble' base-pairing, i.e. permitting non-standard base-pairing at the 3rd anti-codon position. The record is from RNAcentral. Lineage: Bacteria; Pseudomonadati; Planctomycetota; Candidatus Brocadiia.